AGACUCGUGGAGCUGCGCCAAGCUUCCCACUCACAGAUCAGAUGACUGAGCCCAGCAAAGGUGUGGCUUGAGACCAACUUCCAUGAUGGGGAUGAGGACCCUAAGGACACCCAUCCUCCCCUGCUUUCCAGAGCCUCAGCAUGGAGGACACCGUGGGAAGUUCACUCAACGUGGACAAGUUCAGGAGAAGUGAAGAAUGUGGAAAACAGAAUUCCUGUGGGUGGCCUCAACCCCAAGCUCUGCUGAUGCAAACUGGCACCUUGAAGAUGUCUUUGGAAUUUAAUUGGAGAUAUGAAUGACAUCGGGAGACACAGAAGAGGGAGAGGCAUUGCACAGGGGAGGAAAGGCCUCCGUGGGGACCUAUGGGGCUCCCAGGCCCACUGCGGGGAGGCCUGGUCCCUGGUCAUCUGUCGAGGGAGAACACUUUCAGUCCAAGGAGAAUCCUGGGACCCUUGACACAGAAGGGAGGUUCGGAGCCUCUCUGUGGAAAACACAGACCUUUCGUGACACGCAAACUCGAAGCUGGUGAGGCCGAGUCUUGGGGCUGUGCCAACCGGGCAGCCUGACUGUCCAGUGUUCCAAAUCUGGAUGUGAAAUGGACCAUGCAAACAGGACCCAAGGGGCAUGGGGGAGCUGGCAGAGGUGCCCGGGAAAAGUGGGGAAGCACCUGUCAGCCAGGAAGGUAGAGGGGCACCUGCCCCAGAACAUGGUGCCAGCAUCCCACUCUUAUUAAUAGAUGCAAUAACCACCUUCGGAGACUGGACCCCUCAACGAGCACUUAGCCCACAAUGUGAUGCAGAGAAACCAGAGACCCAGGCAGCGAGUGCACCCACGGGGACGCUCCGAGGGCAGCCUCCUGCCCCCCCUGAUGACUUAAAAAGGAGAUUCUUGGAAACCUUUGCCGGC
Long non-coding RNA from Cercocebus atys (sooty mangabey), 906 nucleotides. RefSeq lists it as uncharacterized. NCBI's taxonomy places the organism in Eukaryota, Metazoa, Chordata, Mammalia, Primates, Cercopithecidae. The record is from RefSeq and is a predicted model, not a curated record. The transcript is spliced from 3 exons.